This 253-nucleotide ribosomal RNA is filed under the name uncultured bacterium. RNAcentral describes it as "partial 16S ribosomal RNA". It matches the Rfam family "Bacterial small subunit ribosomal RNA", at positions 524 to 776 of the family's 1533-position model. The record is from RNAcentral.
UACGUAGGGUGCGAGCGUUAAUCGGAAUUACUGGGCGUAAAGCGUGCGCAGGCGGGUUUGUAAGUCAGAUGUGAAAGCCCCGGGCUCAACCUGGGAAUUGCAUUCGAGACUGAAUAGCUAGGGUACGGUAGAGGGAAGUGGAAUUUCCGGUGUAGCGGUGAAAUGCGCAGAUAUCAGGAGGAACACCGGUGGCGAAGGCGGGUCUCUGGGCCGUAACUGACGCUGAGGAGCGAAAGCGUGGGGAGCGAACAGG